GGUAUUUAUAUUGCGCCAGCAUAUUCCGUAGCGCUUUACAAUAUUAUCAAAGGGGGGAAUUUAACAAUAAAUAAGACAAUUACAAAAACUGACAGGAACAAUAGGUUGAAGAGGGCCCUGCUCAAAAGAGCUUACAGUCUAUACAAACAGUGUACACAGGGUUAGUGUGAUACAAUCUAUCAAAGGAGUGGGUGGAGGUGGUAGAGAACUCACUCGAUCAG
Non-coding RNA from Pelobates cultripes (western spadefoot toad), 221 nucleotides. NCBI's taxonomy places the organism in Eukaryota, Metazoa, Chordata, Amphibia, Anura, Pelobatidae. The record is from the annotation of a GenBank genome assembly.